UCUGUCAUUACAUCAAAAUGAAGAUUACAAGUUAAAACAUAAAUGAAAUUACAAAAAUCCUAUCUAUGCAGCUUUCCUUGACUCCUGACUUGAGUUUUGUCACCCUAUUUUUUAUGUGGGCUCAUGACUUGCAAUUUCUUUCAACUUGUUGCUUGGUUUUCCAUUGCUUCACUUCGUUACAUUGGCUCUUAUUUAUUCCGCCUGCUCUUCAGGCAGGCUUCGGGAUUUUCAUUUUUUUCUUUCAAUUUCAUCACCCUGUUCUUCAGGCGAGUUCCUGACUUGCAAUUUCUUCAAUUUCCCAUUUCAUCAACCAAUUCUUUAGGCAAGUUCCUGAAAUCCAAAUAAAA
RNAcentral lists this long non-coding RNA (347 nucleotides) under Capsicum annuum. Its description in RNAcentral is "long non-coding RNA (CANN_LNC021001)". The record is from RNAcentral. Lineage: Eukaryota; Viridiplantae; Streptophyta; Magnoliopsida; Solanales; Solanaceae.